RNAcentral lists this ribozyme (69 nucleotides) under unclassified sequences. RNAcentral's name for it is "pistol ribozyme". It matches the Rfam family "Pistol ribozyme". The record is from RNAcentral.
ACUCGUUUGAGCGAGUAUAAACAGUUGGUUAGGCUCAAAGCGGAGAGCAGAUCGUCUGCUCUCGUCCAA